Molecule: ribosomal RNA, 467 nt
Filed under: uncultured bacterium
Lineage: Bacteria
Description: partial 16S ribosomal RNA
Rfam family: Bacterial small subunit ribosomal RNA
Source: RNAcentral
ACGAACGCUGGCGGCGUGCUUAACCCAUGCCCGUCGAACGGAAAGGCCCUGCUUUUGUGGGGUGCUCGAGUGGCGAACGGGUGAGUAACACGUGAGUAACCUGCCCUUGACUUUGGGAUAACUUCAGGAAACUGGGGCUAAUACCGGAUAGGAGCUCCUGCUGCAUGGUGGGGGUUGGAAAGUUUCGGCGGUUGGGGAUGGACUCGCGGCUUAUCAGCUUGUUGGUGGGGUAGUGGCUUACCAAGGCUUUGACGGGUAGCCGGCCUGAGAGGGUGACCGGCCACAUUGGGACUGAGAUACGGCCCAGACUCCUACGGGAGGCAGCAGUGGGGAAUAUUGCACAAUGGGCGGAAGCCUGAUGCAGCAACGCCGCGUGCGGGAUGACGGCCUUCGGGUUGUAAACCGCUUUCGCCUGUGACGAAGCGUGAGUGACGGUAAUGGGUAAAGAAGCACCGGCUAACUACGUG